RNAcentral lists this ribosomal RNA (433 nucleotides) under uncultured bacterium. RNAcentral's name for it is "partial 16S ribosomal RNA". It matches the Rfam family "Bacterial small subunit ribosomal RNA", at positions 29 to 507 of the family's 1533-position model. The record is from RNAcentral.
AACGAACGCUGGCGGCAUGCCUAACACAUGCAAGUCGAACGAAGCCUCCGGGCUUAGUGGCGCAUGGGUGUGGAACGCGUGGGAAUCUGCCGCUUGCUUCGGGAUAACAGUUAUAAAUGACGGCUAAUACCGGAUGAAGUCUGCGGACCAAAGAUUCGUCGUGAAGGGAUGAGCAGGAGUUGGUUUAGGUGGUUGGUGGGGUAAAGGCCUACGACGCCGAGGAUCGUUAGCUGGUCUGAGAGAAUGAUCAGCCACACUGAGAAUGGGAAACGGCCGAGAAUCCUACGGGAGGCGGCAGUGGGGGAUAUUGGACAAUGGACGCGAUUCUGAUCCAGCAAUGCCGCGUGAGUGAUGAAGGCCUUAGGGAUGUAAAGCUCUUUUACCAGCGAUGAUAAUGACGGUACCUGGAGAAUAAGCACCGGCUAACUCCGUG